GGCGGGGUGCCGGAGCGGUCGAACGGGGCGGUCUUGAAAACCGCUGAGGGUUCACGCCCUCCGUGAGUUCGAAUCUCACCCCCGCCG
RNAcentral lists this transfer RNA (87 nucleotides) under Actinomycetes bacterium. Its description in RNAcentral is "Actinobacteria bacterium tRNA-Ser". It matches the Rfam family "tRNA". Rfam says of the family: Transfer RNA (tRNA) molecules are approximately 80 nucleotides in length. Their secondary structure includes four short double-helical elements and three loops (D, anti-codon, and T loops). Further hydrogen bonds mediate the characteristic L-shaped molecular structure. tRNAs have two regions of fundamental functional importance: the anti-codon, which is responsible for specific mRNA codon recognition, and the 3' end, to which the tRNAs corresponding amino acid is attached (by aminoacyl-tRNA synthetases). tRNAs cope with the degeneracy of the genetic code in two manners: having more than one tRNA (with a specific anti-codon) for a particular amino acid; and 'wobble' base-pairing, i.e. permitting non-standard base-pairing at the 3rd anti-codon position. Lineage: Bacteria; Bacillati; Actinomycetota; Actinomycetes. RNAcentral also lists the same sequence under 1 other name. The record is from RNAcentral.